This 243-nucleotide ribosomal RNA is filed under the name Triticum aestivum (bread wheat). RNAcentral's name for it is "partial small subunit ribosomal RNA". The record is from RNAcentral. Lineage: Eukaryota; Viridiplantae; Streptophyta; Magnoliopsida; Poales; Poaceae.
AUGUGCGUGGUAAAAUGAGAUGGUGGAAUGGGUUUUCCUGACCCCAAGGCCUUUAACCAAGCGUUACUGCCAAAACAUGCGUGGAGGAUCCUGCAGGCACCAACCUCUCUACGCGCGUGUGUGCUGAAGGCACGUUAUUUCAGCGAUAACUCAAUCCUAACAGCAAUAGCACCCUCAUCCGCCUCGUACACAUUCCGUAGCAUUCUUCAUGGACGGGACCUGCUACACGAGGGGAUCAUAUGA